Molecule: ribosomal RNA, 459 nt
Filed under: uncultured bacterium
Lineage: Bacteria
Description: partial 16S ribosomal RNA
Rfam family: Bacterial small subunit ribosomal RNA
Source: RNAcentral
CCUACGGGAGGCAGCAGUGAGGAAUAUUGGUCAAUGGGCGCGAGCCUGAACCAGCCAAGUCGCGUGAGGGAAGACGGUCCUAUGGAUUGUAAACCUCUUUUGUCGGGGAGCAAAAGACGCCACGUGUGGCGUUCCGAGAGUACCCGAAGAAAAAGCAUCGGCUAACUCCGUGCCAGCAGCCGCGGUAAUACGGAGGAUGCGAGCGUUAUCCGGAUUUAUUGGGUUUAAAGGGUGCGCAGGCGGAAGAUCAAGUCAGCGGUAAAAUUGAGGGGCUCAACCUCGUCGAGCCGUUGAAACUGGUUGUCUUGAGUGAGCGAGAAGUAUGCGGAAUGCGUGGUGUAGCGGUGAAAUGCAUAGAUAUCACGCAGAACUCCGAUUGCGAAGGCAGCAUACCGGCGCUCAACUGACGCUCAUGCACGAAAGUGUGGGUAUCGAACAGGAUUAGAUACCCGAGUAGUC